UGUUGUGACAUGUCUGUGUGUGUGGUCAGAAGCUCUUCCAGGUCCUAGUCAGUGUGUUAAUGCUGGUGUGAGUGUGUGCUUGUGUUAAGUUGUGUGUUAUAUUUUAUUCUGUGGAUGAUUUGGGAUCUGAGGUGAAAGCAGAGCAGAACAUCAGGAGCUUGUCUUUGUCGCACAUCAAAGCGUCUCCAUUCUCCAGCAUUGGAUCUCCAUCAGCUUCUGUGUCACUCAGAGGGCCGGCGAAGGAGGCCUUCAUCUCCACCCAGAGAUUCAACCUCUUUCUGGGCACCACCCAGUGGAGUCAUAUCCUGCUGAUGAAAAGCACCAACAGGACACGAGACACAUCCAUGUUGGAGUCCAACACUCACCUUGAACAGAAGCGAUGAUCUGACAGGAAUCUAAUAACAUUUCACUGCUUGGGUUCAGAGGCUGUUCUCCUCCACACGUCUCUACACCUCCUGAUGCCCUGAGACACGGCCCUGAGCUCCACACGUCUCUCCACCCACAAACACUUCACUGUUAGUUAAGACAAAAUCCAUAUACUUCGUCUGACCAAAGCACCACAGCAGGACGCGAGACUCGUGUAACCUCCACCUUAAAAUAAUCUGCAGGAACAAACAAACAAGAAGUAAACAUCCACCCAGAUUCUGCAGUUUAAAUAAAACCAUGUUGGUUUAUGGUGUGAAGAACAGACGCUGACGUCACCAGCCGGAGCCGGAAAUCAGCUGCUGAGGAAAAACACCAACAUUCUGAAUCACAGAAGAUCUCAACAGUAACACGGGGGUUAAAGGUCAGGUCACAGAAG
This is a long non-coding RNA of Tachysurus fulvidraco (yellow catfish), 802 nucleotides long. RefSeq lists it as uncharacterized. The record is from RefSeq and is a predicted model, not a curated record. NCBI's taxonomy places the organism in Eukaryota, Metazoa, Chordata, Actinopteri, Siluriformes, Bagridae. The transcript is spliced from 4 exons.